AUAUAUCGGAACGUACCCUGGAGUGGGGGAUAACGCAGCGAAAGUUGCGCUAAUACCGCAUACGAUCUACGGAUGAAAGUGGGGGCUCGCAAGACCUCAUGCUCGUGGAGCGGCCGAUAUCUGAUUAGCUAGUUGGUAGGGAAAAAGCCUACCAAGGCUUCAAUCAGUAGCUGGUCUGAAAGGACGACCAGCCACACUGGGACUGAGACACGGCCCAGACUCCUACGGGAGGCAGCAGUGGGGAAUUUUGGACAAUGGGGGCAACCCUGAUCCAGCAAUGCCGCGUGAGUGAAGAAGGCCUUCGGGUUGUAAAGCUCUUUUGUCAGGGAAGAAACGGUGAAGGCUAAUACUCUUUGCUAAUGACGGUACCUGAAGAAUAAGCACCGGCUAACUACGUGCCAGCAGCCGCGGUAAUACGUAGGGUGCAAGCGUUAAUCGGAAUUACUGGGCGUAAAGCGUGCGCAGGCGGUUAUGUAAGUCAGAUGUGAAAUCUCCGGGCUCAACCUGGGAAUGGCAUUUGAGACUGCAUGGCUAGAGUGUGUCAGAGGGGGGUAGAAUUCCACGUGU
RNAcentral lists this ribosomal RNA (567 nucleotides) under uncultured bacterium. RNAcentral's name for it is "bacterial SSU rRNA". It matches the Rfam family "Bacterial small subunit ribosomal RNA", at positions 113 to 676 of the family's 1533-position model. The record is from RNAcentral.